AACAAACGCUGGCGGCGUGCCUAACACAUGCAAGUCGUACGAGAAAGUCGGCUUCGGCCGAUGAGUACAGUGGCGCACGGGUGAGUAGCGCGUGGGUAAUCUGCCCCCCGGUCAGGAAUAACCCGCCGAAAGGCGGGCUAAUACCCGAUAACACUGACGCUCCGCGGAGCGUCUUUCAAAGAAGGCCUCUGUUUUACAAGCUUUCGCCGGAGGAUGAGCCCGCGUACCAUUAGCUAGUUGGCAGGGUAAUGGCCUACCAAGGCUACGAUGGUUAGCUGGUCUGAGAGGAUGGCCAGCCACACUGGAACUGAGACACGGUCCAGACUCCUACGGGGGGCAGCAGUGAGGAAUCUUGCGCAGUGGGGGAAACCCUGACGCAGCAACGCCGCGUGAGUGAGGGAGGCCUUCGGGUCGUAAAGCUCUGUCAGAUGGGAAGAAAUGGAUGGGGGCUAAUAUCGCCCAUCCUUGACGGUACCAUCAGAGGAAGCACCGGCUAACUCCGUG
RNAcentral lists this ribosomal RNA (504 nucleotides) under uncultured bacterium. Its description in RNAcentral is "bacterial SSU rRNA". It matches the Rfam family "Bacterial small subunit ribosomal RNA", at positions 29 to 507 of the family's 1533-position model. The record is from RNAcentral.